GACGAACGCUGGCGGCGUGCUUAACACAUGCAAGUCGAGCGGUAAGGCCUUUCGGGGUACACGAGCGGCGAACGGGUGAGUAACACGUGGGUGAUCUGCCCUGCACUUCGGGAUAAGCCUGGGAAACUGGGUCUAAUACCGGAUAUGACCUCCUAUCGCAUGGUGGGUGGUGGAAAGAUUUAUCGGUGCAGGAUGGGCCCGCGGCCUAUCAGCUUGUUGGUGGGGUAAUGGCCUACCAAGGCGACGACGGGUAGCCGGCCUGAGAGGGUGACCGGCCACACUGGGACUGAGACACGGCCCAGACUCCUACGGGAGGCAGCAGUGGGGAAUAUUGCACAAUGGGCGAAAGCCUGAUGCAGCGACGCCGCGUGAGGGAUGACGGCCUUCGGGUUGUAAACCUCUUUCAGCAGGGACGAAGCGCAAGUGACGGUACCUGCAGAAGAAGCACCGGCUAACUACGU
RNAcentral lists this ribosomal RNA (461 nucleotides) under uncultured bacterium. RNAcentral describes it as "partial 16S ribosomal RNA". It matches the Rfam family "Bacterial small subunit ribosomal RNA", at positions 28 to 506 of the family's 1533-position model. The record is from RNAcentral.